AGCAGCCGCGGUAAUUCCAGCCCCAAUAGCGUAUAUUAAAGUUGUUGCAGUUAAAAAGCUCGUAGUUGAAUUUUAGGCCUGGCCGGGCGGUCCGUCUUUGGCGAGUACUGUCCUGUGUCGGGUCCACCUUCUGGUGAACCAGUAUGUCCUUUAUUGGGUGUGCCGGGGAGCCAGGACCAUUACCUUGAAAAAAUUAGAGUGUUUAAAGCGGGCAUUUGCUUGAAUAGAUUAGCAUGGAAUAAUAGAAUAGGACGUUGUGGUUCUAUUUUGUUGGUUUCUAGGACCACCGUAAUGAUUAAUAGGGAUAGUUGGGGGCAUUAGUAUUCAAUUGUCAGAGGUGAAAUUCUUGGAUUUAUUGAAGACUAACUAUUGCGAAAGCAUUUGCCAAGGAUGUUUUCAUUAAUCAAGAACGAAAGUUAGGGGAUCGAAGACGAUCAGAUACCGUCGUAGUCUUAACCAUAAACUAUGCCGACUAGGAAUCGGGCGACGUUAUUUUCAUGACUCGCUCGGCGCCUUAUGG
This 520-nucleotide ribosomal RNA is filed under the name uncultured Archaeospora. RNAcentral's name for it is "SSU rRNA". It matches the Rfam family "Eukaryotic small subunit ribosomal RNA", at positions 569 to 1093 of the family's 1831-position model. The record is from RNAcentral. Lineage: Eukaryota; Fungi; Glomeromycota; Glomeromycetes; Archaeosporales; Archaeosporaceae.